GGAGCAUGUGGUUUAAUUCGAAGCAACGCGAAGAACCUUACCAGGUCUUGACAUCCCUGACAACCCGAGAGAUCGGGCGUUCCCCUUCGGGGGACAGGGUGACAGGUGGUGCAUGGUUGUCGUCAGCUCGUGUCGUGAGAUGUUGGGUUAAGUCCCGCAACGAGCGCAACCCUCGACCUUAGUUGCCAGCAUUCAGUUGGGCACUCUAAGGUGACUGCCGGCUAAAAGUCGGAGGAAGGUGGGGAUGACGUCAAAUCAUCAUGCCCCUUAUGACCUGGGCUACACACGUGCUACAAUGGGCGGUACAAAGGGUCGCGAACCCGCGAGGGGGGAGCCAAUCCCAAAAAGCCGCUCUCAGUUCGGAUUGCAGGCUGCAACUCGCCUGCAUGAAGCCGGAAUCGCUAGUAAUCGCGGAUCAGCAUGCCGCGGUGAAUACGUUCCCGGGCCUU
Molecule: ribosomal RNA, 449 nt
Filed under: uncultured Anoxybacillus sp.
Lineage: Bacteria; Bacillati; Bacillota; Bacilli; Caryophanales; Anoxybacillaceae
Description: bacterial SSU rRNA
Rfam family: Bacterial small subunit ribosomal RNA
Source: RNAcentral